GACGAACGCUGGCGGCGUGCUUAACACAUGCAAGUCGAGCGAUGAAGCACCUUCGGGUGUGGAUUAGCGGCGAACGGGUGAGGAACACGUGAGGAAUCUGCCUUCCACUCUGGGAUAACUCCGGGAAACCGGGGCUAAUACCGGAUAUUUUCAACUGGCGGCAUCGCCGGUUGAAGAAAGUUUUUCGGUGGAAGAUGACCUCGCGGCCUAUCAGCUUGUUGGUGAGGUAAAGGCUCACCAAGGCGACGACGGCUAGCCGGCCUGAGAGGCCGACCGGCCACACUGGGACUGAGACACGGCCCAGACUCCUACGGGAGGCAGCAGUGAGGAAUAUUGGGCAAUGGAGGAAACUCUGACCCAGCGACGCCGCGUGAGGGAUGAAGGCCUUCGGGUUGUAAACCUCUUUCAGCAGGGAAUAAGCGAAAGUGAAGGUACCUGCAGAAGAAGCACCGGCUAACUAUGUGCCAGCCGCCGCCGUAA
This 480-nucleotide ribosomal RNA is filed under the name uncultured bacterium. Its description in RNAcentral is "partial 16S ribosomal RNA". It matches the Rfam family "Bacterial small subunit ribosomal RNA", at positions 28 to 523 of the family's 1533-position model. The record is from RNAcentral.